AGAGUUUGAUCCUGGCUCAGGAUGAACGCUAGCUACAGGCUUAACACAUGCAAGUCGAGGGGAAACGACAUCGAAAGCUUGCUUUUGAUGGGCGUCGACCGGCGCACGGGUGAGUAACGCGUAUCCAACCUGCCCACCACUUGGGGAUAACCUUGCGAAAGUAAGACUAAUACCCAAUGACGUCUCUAGAAGACAUCUGAAAGAGAUUAAAGAUUUAUCGGUGAUGGAUGGGGAUGCGUCUGAUUAGCUUGUUGGCGGGGUAACGGCCCACCAAGGCGACGAUCAGUAGGGGUUCUGAGAGGAAGGUCCCCCANAUUGGAACUGAGACACGGUCCAAACUCCCUACGGGAGGCCA
This 355-nucleotide ribosomal RNA is filed under the name uncultured bacterium. RNAcentral describes it as "bacterial SSU rRNA". It matches the Rfam family "Bacterial small subunit ribosomal RNA", at positions 8 to 351 of the family's 1533-position model. The record is from RNAcentral.